AUUAAACUUCAAUCCAUUGAAGAAAUUCAUUCCCAUUCAUUUUUUUAAAUUCAUAGCUGUUUUUUAUUUAUUUAUUUUUAUUUUUUUUAACUAUCACGACAAUUGUUUUUGAAUCAUACAUCCUCUGAUUGGACUUAUAAACACAUCACCAUCACAAAGAAUAUCUAAUCACACACCGUGAGAAAUUAAUGAUUGAAUGCUGGGAUUCCAAAAGUGAGAACUCCAGCUGAUUUUCCUUCCGCUUGUAAGCACUCACUCAACCUUGCUUGCUUAUCACCAUUCAUUUUUAUUUUAUAAUGAUGCCUUUGCUUUUAACUGAGUCAGUUUGUCACUAAUCUUCAACUUUGUCGUGAUUGAAAACUAUGUCCUUGUUUUUUUUCUGUUAAAAUGUUACGAUUUCUGUUUUACAUGAGCCUCAUUUGUCAGACAAUCGGAUUUUUAGGUCCACUAGAGGAAUCUGACCGUGAAUCAUCACAUUUACAACCGCUUAUGACGAGCACGAACGAUAAUGCACUUCACGAUGCCUUCGCAGAAAUAUACGCGGCCAAAGCUGAGAAAAUCAUCAUCAACACCACAGAUUUCGAGAUUGUCACCCAUUCGUCCGGCUACAUCGAUAAAAACUCCUCUCAUCUUGGAUCUGCUACCGCUUCCAUCCCAUAUCGUCAUCCACGGCCCGCGGGGGUUUUU
RNAcentral lists this long non-coding RNA (687 nucleotides) under Bemisia tabaci. Its description in RNAcentral is "lncRNA ENSSWEETPG005151". The record is from RNAcentral. Lineage: Eukaryota; Metazoa; Arthropoda; Insecta; Hemiptera; Aleyrodidae.